This is a non-coding RNA of Vicia faba (fava bean), 240 nucleotides long. Lineage: Eukaryota; Viridiplantae; Streptophyta; Magnoliopsida; Fabales; Fabaceae. The record is from the annotation of a GenBank genome assembly.
AUGGGUGGUGUUCAUGCUUUGAAGAGAAUCCCUCGCAUCAAGUUCCCCAACAGGCACCUAAAAUCCUCUGGUUCUGCCUCUGAGGGUGAAGCUUUGUCUUCGACAGGCGAUGCCAGUUUAUCAUUCUUUUCAAGUUCAAAUGCUUCGGCAACAUUAGGAGGAAAGGCCUCUCUUCAGCCCAAAAGAACCCCGGUCACCAAUGAGGAGAUUGAUGCAGUUUUGUUGGGCGGCUGCUUCUAA